Molecule: ribosomal RNA, 457 nt
Filed under: uncultured bacterium
Lineage: Bacteria
Description: bacterial SSU rRNA
Rfam family: Bacterial small subunit ribosomal RNA
Source: RNAcentral
GACGAACGCUGGCGGUGUGCCUCACACAUGCAAGUCGAGCGGACGAAGAUUGAAGCUUGCUUCAGUCCUAGUUAGCGGCGGACGGGUGAGUAGCACGUAGGAAUCUGCCUUCAGGCGGGGGACAACGGAACGAAAGUUGCGCUAAUACCCCAUAUGCGAGUAAUCGUAAAAGGAGCAAUCCACCGGAAGAUGAGCCUGCGUCCGAUUAGCUAGUUGGUAGGGUAAAAGCCUACCAAGGCUACGAUCGGUAGUUGGUCUGAGAGGAUGAUCAGCCACAAUGGAACCGAGACACGGUCCAUACUCCUACGGGAGGCAGCAGUGGGGAAUUUUACGCAAUGGGCGAAAGCCUGACGUAGCGACACCGCGUGAGCGAAGAAGCCUUUUGGGGUGUAAAGCUCUGUCAGCUGGAACGAACACAAUGACGGUACCAGCAGAGGAAGCAUCGGCUAACUACGUG